This 29-nucleotide non-coding RNA is filed under the name Homo sapiens (human). Lineage: Eukaryota; Metazoa; Chordata; Mammalia; Primates; Hominidae. The record is from RNAcentral.
UCGUAUGUCUGCUUUACCAGUCUUUCCCU